ACGGUGCACGCUUGGUUUGAGGGGAAUCGACCCCCCUUGUGCCGGAGCUAACGCGUUAAGCGUGCCGCUUGGGAAGUACGGUCGCAAGACUAAAACUCAAAGAAAUUGACGGGGACCCGCACAAGCGGUGGAGUAUGUGGCUUAAUGCGAUGCAACGCGAAGAACCUUACCAAGGCUUGACAUGCAUCUCUAAACACGUGAAAGCGUGUGACCCUUCGGGGAAUUUGCACAGGUGCUGCAUGGCCGUCGUCAGCUCGUGUCGUGAGAUGUUGGGUUAAGUCCCGCAACGAGCGCAACCCUUGUGAUUAGUUGCCAGCACGUUAAGGUGGGAACUCUAGUCAGACUGCCCAGAUCAACUGGGAGGAAGGUGGGGACGACGUCAGGUCAGUAUGGCCCUUACGCCUUGGGCUGCACACGUACUACAAUGCCCAGCACAAUGAGAACCGAUACCGCGAGGUGGAGGAAAUCUGUAAAACUGGGCUCAGUUCGGAUUGGAGGCUGCAACUCGCCUCCAUGAAGUUGGAAUCGCUAGUAAUGGGGCAUCAUCUACGGCCCCGUGAAUACGUUCCCGGGUCUUGUACACACCGCCCGUCACAUCAUGGAAGCCGGUCGCACCCGAAGUGCUCGUACCAACC
Molecule: ribosomal RNA, 635 nt
Filed under: uncultured Verrucomicrobium sp.
Lineage: Bacteria; Pseudomonadati; Verrucomicrobiota; Verrucomicrobiia; Verrucomicrobiales; Verrucomicrobiaceae
Description: bacterial SSU rRNA
Rfam family: Bacterial small subunit ribosomal RNA
Source: RNAcentral